GACGAACGCUGGCGGCGUGCCUAAUACAUGCAAGUAGAACGCACAGUUUAUACCGUAGCUUGCUACACCAUAGACUGUGAGUUGCGAACGCGUUAGUUACGCGUAGGUAACCUGCCUGGUAUCGUGUGAUAACUAUUUGUAACGAUAGCUAAUACCGCAUAAUAUUAAUUAUUGCAUGAUAAUUAAUUUAAUUGUUCAAUUUCACCACUACCAGAUGGUCCUGCGUUGUAUUAGCUAGUAGGUGAGGUAACGGCUCACCUAGGCGACGAUACAUAGCCGACAUGAGAGGGUGAUAGGAAACACGGGGAGUGAGACACGGAACAGACUACUACGGGAGGCAGCAGAAGGGAAUAGGAGGCAAUGGACGAAAGUAUGACAGAGCAACGCCGAGUGAGUGAAGAAGGUGUUCGGAUCGUAAAGAUCUGUUGUAAGAGAAGAAAGGGUGUGAGAGUGGAAAGUGAAAACAGUGAGGGAAUAAUAAAAGAAAGGGGGGGCAAACUAGGU
This 504-nucleotide ribosomal RNA is filed under the name uncultured bacterium. RNAcentral's name for it is "partial 16S ribosomal RNA". It matches the Rfam family "Bacterial small subunit ribosomal RNA", at positions 28 to 506 of the family's 1533-position model. The record is from RNAcentral.